Molecule: long non-coding RNA, 1109 nt
Filed under: Erythranthe guttata (spotted monkey flower)
Lineage: Eukaryota; Viridiplantae; Streptophyta; Magnoliopsida; Lamiales; Phrymaceae
Description: long non-coding RNA (EGUT_LNC002230)
Source: RNAcentral
GCCAAUCGAUAUAUACUUCAAGACCCUUUAAAUUGCUCUUGCCUCGUUUUCACUCGGUAGUGAGAUUCAAUACCUUCUGGUAAAAAUAAAUAAGAUAACUAGAGAGAUAAGCAUAAGGCAAACAUAAACUAUAAUUUCUUGCCGUGUUUCUAGUUUAAAUCAGAGCCCUCGAGAAUUAUUCUUGUAUGAAAUAUAACAUAAAAUAUAAAGAAAAUGCGCAAGUUAAACAAAAAAUUAAGUAACAUUAAAUGAUAAAUAGUCCUUGAGGCCCUAAACACAAAAACGAAAUAUUAGGCUUACAAAGAACUAUAAUCGAAAGAAAAAACUACCUGAAAACUUACCGACAUUGGCUAUCUUUAAAGCCAUAGGUAAUUAUCGACAUGGUACUUUUACUUGUAGAAAAUCUGACCUUAGUACCGUCAAAAUUAUAAGAACAUAGACAUCAAAACACACAUUCAUACAAUACGGAGGAUUGCAGGCAAUGAGAAAAUUGAGUGUUUCUAGAUUCCCAAUGUAUAGAAUACAUUUUCCUGCUAAAUGACACAGAUAUAAAUUAAGACAAAGAAAUAGAAAAAGAAAUAGAAUUACAUUAGAAGCAGAGACAUUCUUUGUUGGUGGUAGAAGAGAACAAAUGAUAAAAUUCUAUUUUUUUUUUUCUAAACAUUCAUCACAAACUAGUAUUUUGCUAAAAUUGUUUCAUUUAUUCAGCAUGAACGAAUUAAAAUUGCUAAAUUCUAAUUUAAAACAUAUAAAAUUUUAAUUUAUUUAAUGUAAUACAAUUUCUCCUCUUCCCACAAUUACCAUAUCCCAUGUCGAACAACCACAAGGAUCAAUAGCCAACAUAUCCAUAUUGAACUAUUUAUCACCAUAAAUUAGGGGUUUAGGGUUUGGAUUUCAAUUAUUAGGAUGAAAAGAGUUCGUAAGGAUGGGCGUUGAAUCCAUUACCGUAACAAAGGGAAUUGAUCGGAUUACCUUCGAACAAAGUGUUUUUUUCUUCUUCUGCAUCGUUGCUUCUUCUGUGCCGUUGCUCGAAGAAAAACCACAAAGUAGGUUUUUUCUCUAACAAUAGAGUUUGAGUUGGGAACUCGAUCGACUGGGGUGAAAAUAAU